RNAcentral lists this long non-coding RNA (3196 nucleotides) under Nicotiana benthamiana. RNAcentral's name for it is "long non-coding RNA (NBEN_LNC027045)". The record is from RNAcentral. Lineage: Eukaryota; Viridiplantae; Streptophyta; Magnoliopsida; Solanales; Solanaceae.
AGAUUUGGGAUUUUAUAUAAAAAAGUUUGAACAACCCCAAAACUAAUCCCAUUUUUAAAUUUUCUGGAGCAAUUUUGGACCAACCCAAUGUAACACAGCCCAAAAAACAUAUUAGACUCAUCAUAUCUUUCUUUUUCAACCCUAAAAAUCCCUAAGCUUCAAAAACCCCUAGAGCCAUUGGCAAUCUAGACACCCUUUAUUACAUAACAAGAAAAAAAAAAACCCUAAGGACCCCAAAAAUCAAGCAACCAUCAACUACCCUCUCCUCCCUUCACCUUCAGCAGCACCCUCACACAGAGCCCACCACCCCCCUGAACCUCGAAGCCGACCUCAACCAAGAGCAACCACACUCUAAAUGUGAGCAUCCGUCGCCACUUCCAUCUCCAACAAGUUGGCUAGUGAGCUAUCGAGCUCCAGCACUCAUCCCUGUCACCACCACUUCAUCCCCACCCCAAAACACCACCAGUCGUAAGAAGAGUUACCGCUGGGCUCUCCAUUCUUCAUAAAACAUGCACACACAGAGGCACAAAAUGGACAAAGGGGGAGGGGGUGGACUGAUUUGAUUAUUACAAUGAGAAAAUAGUUUCCUUUGUUCAAUAUAUUUGAAGAAGCAAAUGGAAACAGAAACAAAUUUAGAGUUUUUUAAUCGGAGUUCGUCACUUGAGCUCGUUUGGGUAUGCAUCCGUGUUUGUUUGAGUUUUCCGGUGCUGAUUUAUGAUCCCAUCUAAUUUUCAGCUUUUCGAUGCCAAUUCAAGUUCCGUUGAGGUCGUCUUUGUCUAAGUUUCCCGGUGUUUUACAAUUUUAGAUUCGAAAUUACUAAGGUCCGUUACUAUCUUACCCUUUAUUUAUUGAUUUUGUCGUAUGUGAUGUUUGUGGUGGUAUACUUGUGUGAAUUUCAUACUUAUUGGUGAUAUCUUGAAUUGAAACAGUUUGAUUUUGAAAUGAAAUUUGAUUAUAUGGUUUAAUGGAAAAUUACUCGAAUGUUCAGUAUUGAAACAAGUUGCAUAAAUACUUAUUAUUGAUGUAUGCCUUUUGGACUCACGCUCAAUUCGGUAUUCGUUUUGAAAGAAACUUCCAUGUAAGAGAAUUUGGCCAUUGAGCUCGGGUAAUAACCAAAAGGAGAUUGAACCAUAGUUGUUUUAAUGUCUCAAUUUUCGUUGUUGAUAUCUCUAUAGGCAUAUUUAGGCCGACCACAUUUGGGUAGAUAAACUUUAGAUUUUCCUUUUUCCUUCUUUUAUAUGAGGUGAGAGGCCGCCCUUUUAGUUGAAUUUAUCAGGGGGAAUGCCUCGCGAUAUUUGUAUAUAUUUUUAUCUGGGUAUUACCCCGAGAUAUUUGUAUUUUGAGAUCGAAAGUAGAAGUCGUAGUAUUUUUUUUUUGUUGAGUACGCAACUGUUCUAGUUACGGGACUCGAGGAAUGCCUAACAUCUCCUCAAUUCAAAUGAACCCCCUUAAUAGAAUCUAAUGCAGGCUUAGUUUUAGAGUCCGAAGUAUUUUAAUAGGAAAAUCAUUUUGUAAAUACGACGACGUGACACAUCGAAAUUAAAUGUGAGGUAGCGACUCUGAAAAAUCCUUUUGAACACAUAUUUUUUUCACCUUCUAAUUGAAAACCCUUUUUGAGCUUCAAAAUCACUUUAUAUUAUUUUUAAGAGGGUCAACAAGGUGAAACGUGUGACGGCUUUGGCGACUUUGCUGGGGGAGUUGCAGGUUCGAGUUGAUACUUGAUCUUGUUGACUUUUAGGAUAUUCGGCUGAGGUGUUUGUUUUCUUUCUUUUUUUUUAUUUGGUUUGUUCGUAUUACUUCCUGUUUUGUUGGCUAUUUGUUCAUUGCUUUUCCUAAUGUGUUUACCGUUUUAUAACUGUUAUCAUUUGCGUAACCAUAAGUCUUCUUUCUACAACAAGUCUCGGAGUACAUAUCACAUAUACGAACUCUUUAUUGAGUCACCCUUAUUUUAGGAGGGGGACCGUCAGACGUAUGGAGUGGGUGGAAAGCUUAAGCAGCCAUCGUCGACUAUACGCUCCCUCGAAUUGUCUUGUUAGUGAACCCCAAGCUUAGGUCAUCCUUUAGGCCAUUCUUAUUUUGCAUCAUGUCAUUUAGACCUAGUAGGGCUCAAUCCUAGGUACUGUGUCCUUUUGUAAGAGACCUAUCCAAAUUUUGUCAAAAUAGGCAUCUGGCCCAAUAAGAUAUUCAAUGAUUCCUAUGUGAUUAUUGUUGCAUCUUUGAGGGUAAAAAGGUUAUUUGGUGGACUGAUAUUUGGGAAAGAGGGUGAAGUGUAAAAAUGAAGCAAGUAAGACCCGAUUAUAUUUUUCUUUCACAACUCUUUCAAGGGAAAGACCCAAAAAAUGGAAAUGAAACAUCCAAAAAAGAUUUUGCACUUUCUCAUUAUUUUUUUUUUUAAAAAAAAUUAAAAAAGAAGAGACAAAAAAAUCCAAAAAGAUUUUACAUGUUUCAUCAUUUUCAAAAAAAGAAAAGAAAAAAAUGUUUUCUCCAAAUCGAUGUUUUUUUUAAAUUCUCUCUCACAUCCAAUCUUCCCAAACUAUGCAUACCCGAUUCUCGUCUUUUGGGGCAGGAUAUAUAAGCAGCCCGCAUAGGAUCCGGUCAUCCUAGUAAGUCUUAGGUUCUUGGCUUCGCGGUGUCUUAGCUAAAUCUUGCAUGUCUAGCCAGUUUUGUCCACAUAGGUCGUUCUUGCAAAAUGAGGUCAUAUUCCCAAAAGGUUUGUUAUCCCAUGUCUUAGAGACCUAAUUCCACAACAAGGUGGUUUGUCUCUGUUUAAGGUUCAGUUUAUUGAGUUUGCACUUCUAGCCACAUUUUGGCCACGUAGGUUAAGUUUAAAAAUAGCCCAAUCUGUCUUGCAUGUGUCUAAUAGGAGGUGUUGUGGUAUCGCAUAGUGUCUCGAGUCACUAACUCAAUUUGAUCUUAUUUUUCUCAUUCAGGUAUGACUCCAUUUGCAGGGCUUGAGUGUGAUAGACGCCCCAAGACCAUCCAGUCAGGACCACUACAUUCAGGAGCUACUUGAGGAGAUCUUUCUAUAUUUUUGAGUUUGUUUUCAUGUUUUCUUUUACUUUUUAGUCUUUUCCAGUAGUGUUAAGUAUUUUAGGUGGUGUAAGAGUUUGUCAAAUCUUUUGUCAUCAUAUUUCUUAUUUGUAUUUGAAAGCAAAAAAGGGUACAAAUGAAAAACUCAAAAAGAUUUUUGUCUUUA